Molecule: ribosomal RNA, 253 nt
Filed under: uncultured bacterium
Lineage: Bacteria
Description: partial 16S ribosomal RNA
Rfam family: Bacterial small subunit ribosomal RNA
Source: RNAcentral
UACGUAGGGGGCAAGCGUUGUCCGGAAUCAUUGGGCGUAAAGCGCGUGUAGGCGGCCCGAUAAGUCCGCUGUGAAAGUCCAGGGCUCAACCCUGGGAUGCCGGUGGAUACUGUCGGGCUCGAGUCCGGAAGAGGAGAAUGGAAUUCCCGGUGUAGCGGUGAAAUGCGCAGAGAUCGGGAGGAACACCCGUAGCGAAGGCGGUUCUCUGGGCCGGUACUGACGCUGAGGAGCGAAAGCGUGGGGAGCAAACAGG